RNAcentral lists this long non-coding RNA (470 nucleotides) under Ananas comosus (pineapple). RNAcentral describes it as "long non-coding RNA (ACOM_LNC000826)". The record is from RNAcentral. Lineage: Eukaryota; Viridiplantae; Streptophyta; Magnoliopsida; Poales; Bromeliaceae.
UUUUUUUUUUGAAAAACCUGACACCCAGGGUAUGCCAGAUCCGCCACAAAUACAGAGAAUCCACUGUUCACACGGACAGAGUCUCCCCUGUAUUUGCACAGCGUCGCACAAGUAGAAGAUACAAGAUUUACCUUACAGGAUACAACCACAUAUAUGAACAUCCACAGAUUUAUACACUAUUCACAUUCACAUUCACAUUCAGAAUUUAUCCAUAAAUUCACAGCUAUUAGUUUAAAAUAUUUCCCACCCAGAAACUCGUUUUAAAACCCUAAGUUAUGAAAACCAAGAAAAACAUUUUAAAAACUGUUUUUCACACGGAAAUCUUUAUCUUUUAAAACUCGCUACCACGAGGGGUAGAAACCAUUUCCAUUUCACCAAAAAUCCAUAAAUCCUUUAUUACAUUUAUAAAACCAGAUGAAUUCAAAGUAAUAAUCAUCGAACCAAAUAACUGUCUAAGUCAUUUAUUUAAA